UUAAGCGACUAAGCGUACACGGUGGAUGCCCUGGCAGUCAGAGGCGAUGAAGGACGUGCUAAUCUGCGAUAAGCGUCGGUAAGGUGAUAUGAACCGUUAUAACCGGCGAUUUCCGAAUGGGGAAACCCAGUGUGAUUCGUCACACUAUCAUUAACUGAAUCCAUAGGUUAAUGAGGCGAACCGGGGGAACUGAAACAUCUAAGUACCCCGAGGAAAAGAAAUCAACCGAGAUUCCCCCAGUAGCGGCGAGCGAACGGGGAGCAGCCCAGAGCCUGAAUCAGUGUGUGUGUUAGUGGAAGCGUCUGGAAAGGCGCGCGAUACAGGGUGACAGCCCCGUACACAAAAAUGCACAUACUGUGAGCUCGAUGAGUAGGGCGGGACACGUGGUAUCCUGUCUGAAUAUGGGGGGACCAUCCUCCAAGGCUAAAUACUCCUGACUGACCGAUAGUGAACCAGUACCGUGAGGGAAAGGCGAAAAGAACCCCGGCGAGGGGAGUGAAAAAGAACCUGAAACCGUGUACGUACAAGCAGUGGGAGCACGCUUAGGCGUGUGACUGCGUACCUUUUGUAUAAUGGGUCAGCGACUUAUAUUCUGUAGCAAGGUUAACCGAAUAGGGGAGCCGAAGGGAAACCGAGUCUUAACUGGGCGUUAAGUUGCAGGGUAUAGACCCGAAACCCGGUGAUCUAGCCAUGGGCAGGUUGAAGGUUGGGUAACACUAACUGGAGGACCGAACCGACUAAUGUUGAAAAAUUAGCGGAUGACUUGUGGCUGGGGGUGAAAGGCCAAUCAAACCGGGAGAUAGCUGGUUCUCCCCGAAAGCUAUUUAGGUAGCGCCUCGUGAAUUCAUCUCCGGGGGUAGAGCACUGUUUCGGCAAGGGGGUCAUCCCGACUUACCAACCCGAUGCAAACUGCGAAUACCGGAGAAUGUUAUCACGGGAGACACACGGCGGGUGCUAACGUCCGUCGUGAAGAGGGAAACAACCCAGACCGCCAGCUAAGGUCCCAAAGUCAUGGUUAAGUGGGAAACGAUGUGGGAAGGCCCAGACAGCCAGGAUGUUGGCUUAGAAGCAGCCAUCAUUUAAAGAAAGCGUAAUAGCUCACUGGUCGAGUCGGCCUGCGCGGAAGAUGUAACGGGGCUAAACCAUGCACCGAAGCUGCGGCAGCGACGCUUAUGCGUUGUUGGGUAGGGGAGCGUUCUGUAAGCCUGCGAAGGUGUGCUGUGAGGCAUGCUGGAGGUAUCAGAAGUGCGAAUGCUGACAUAAGUAACGAUAAAGCGGGUGAAAAGCCCGCUCGCCGGAAGACCAAGGGUUCCUGUCCAACGUUAAUCGGGGCAGGGUGAGUCGACCCCUAAGGCGAGGCCGAAAGGCGUAGUCGAUGGGAAACAGGUUAAUAUUCCUGUACUUGGUGUUACUGCGAAGGGGGGACGGAGAAGGCUAUGUUGGCCGGGCGACGGUUGUCCCGGUUUAAGCGUGUAGGCUGGUUUUCCAGGCAAAUCCGGAAAAUCAAGGCUGAGGCGUGAUGACGAGGCACUACGGUGCUGAAGCAACAAAUGCCCUGCUUCCAGGAAAAGCCUCUAAGCAUCAGGUAACAUCAAAUCGUACCCCAAACCGACACAGGUGGUCAGGUAGAGAAUACCAAGGCGCUUGAGAGAACUCGGGUGAAGGAACUAGGCAAAAUGGUGCCGUAACUUCGGGAGAAGGCACGCUGAUAUGUAGGUGAAGUCCCUCGCGGAUGGAGCUGAAAUCAGUCGAAGAUACCAGCUGGCUGCAACUGUUUAUUAAAAACACAGCACUGUGCAAACACGAAAGUGGACGUAUACGGUGUGACGCCUGCCCGGUGCCGGAAGGUUAAUUGAUGGGGUCAGCGCAAGCGAAGCUCUUGAUCGAAGCCCCGGUAAACGGCGGCCGUAACUAUAACGGUCCUAAGGUAGCGAAAUUCCUUGUCGGGU
RNAcentral lists this ribosomal RNA (1949 nucleotides) under human gut metagenome. RNAcentral describes it as "bacterial LSU rRNA". It matches the Rfam family "Bacterial large subunit ribosomal RNA", at positions 1 to 1977 of the family's 2925-position model. The record is from RNAcentral.